GUUAAUUUACUUAUUUUAUGAAUUUAAUUUUUAAACAAAAUUAUUUUUUUUGUUAAUUUUUAAUUAUGAAAAAAUUUUUUGAUUAGGUUUUAACUGUAAAGGUUUAAAUUAAAUUUAUUUGAAGGAAACUUUUUUGUUGUACCUUUUGUAUCAGGGUUAAUUAAAUUUAAAAAUUAAUUUUUUUUUCUCGAAUUUUUAGGAUUUUAAUUUUUUUUGAUUUUAAUUGUUUUAAAAAUUUUAAUUAAUUAAAUUAAGUUUCGAUAUGAAAAUCAUCUAAUUUUAUAUCUAGUUAUUUUGGAAUUAAAUUUAAUUUAGAACUUUCAAUUUUAUACAUUUUUUUUUUUAUAAAUUUUUAAGUUUAAUUUAAUUUAGGUUAAUCUAAUUUAAUUACUAUAAUUUAAGUUUUAAUAAAAUCAUGUAGGAUUAAAAUCUUUUUUCUUUAAAAGUUCGUUUUAGAUUAUUUUUUUUUCGUUUACAUUAUUUAGAUUUAUACAAAAUUUUUUUAUAAAAUUAUUUUUUUUGUUAAUAAUGAUUAAAUUAGUAAAUUUAAAUUUUAAUUUUAUGAAUUCGGCAAAUUUUAUUAUUUGACUGUUUAUCAAAAACAUUUUCUCUUGCUUUUUUAAGAGGUAAUUCCUGCUCACUGAUGAUUUAAAUAGCUGCAGUAAUUUAACUGUACAAAGGUAGCAUAAUAAUUAGUCUUUUAAUUGAGGUCUGGAAUGAAUGGAUUAACAAAAUAAUAACUUUAUUAGGUUAAAUAAAUUUUAAUUUUAUUUUUUAGUUAAAAAGCUAAAAUUUUUAAAUGGGACGAUAAGACCCUAUAGAUCUUUAAUUUUUUAGAAUUAAGGGACUUUUAGGUAAAUUAAAAAUUUAAAUUUAAAAAAUUUUAGUUGGGGUGACUAAAAAAAUUUUAAAACUUUUUUUAAUUUUAUCAUAAAUUGAUGUCUUUUUAGAUCUUAAUUAUUUAGAUUUUAAAAAUAAGAUACCUUAGGGAUAACAGCGUAGAAAUUUGGAUAGUUCAUAUUGAUAAAUUUAUUUACGACCUCGAUGUUGAAUUAAUUAUAAAUUUUAAAGCAGAAAUUAAUAAUUUGGGUCUGUUCGACCUUUAAUUAAUUACAUGAUUUGAGUUCAAACCGGCGUGAGCCAGGUUGGUUUCUAUCUAUUUAUUUAUAAAUUUAAUUAGUACGAAAGGACUCUUAAGUUUGGAAAAUUUUCU
This 1213-nucleotide ribosomal RNA is filed under the name Epeurysa nawaii. RNAcentral's name for it is "16S ribosomal RNA". The stretch from base 990 to 1147 matches the Rfam family "Archaeal large subunit ribosomal RNA", at positions 2542 to 2701 of the family's 2987-position model. Lineage: Eukaryota; Metazoa; Arthropoda; Insecta; Hemiptera; Delphacidae. The record is from RNAcentral.